GGAGAAAAUAUUUAGGGAAGAGAUUUGAAAGAGAUUACAAGAAAAAUCUUCCAUAAGCACAAAAGGGCCAUUCAAAGUAAAAUAGAGAGAAGAAGAGCAUCCAAGUGAAUCCCAAAGCUUUCUCUCCAUCCGUGUGCUGCCUCGGAGAUCCUCUACUUUGUGCAAAAUCAGAAGAGGGGGCAAGUGAAGAAGAAGCCGAGUUCCUCCAUCUACAAAUUAGUUUGAGGGCUUCUUCUCUUUUCUUUACUUAUUUACAUUUGCUAUAUUUGCUUAUUUGAGAAGCUUGUAUUUGAUUUAAACUCUUGUUCUAAUAUCUUGUAACUUGAUUCAAUCAAGGGAUUGAAUCAAGGGGUUAAGGUUUGUUGGUGAGCCAAAGGGAAAAACCAACGUUGUAAGGUUGUGGUUGGUGAGCCUUUGGGGAAAACCAACCGGGUUGAUUGUG
This 442-nucleotide long non-coding RNA is filed under the name Phoenix dactylifera (date palm). RNAcentral describes it as "long non-coding RNA (PDAC_LNC007994)". Lineage: Eukaryota; Viridiplantae; Streptophyta; Magnoliopsida; Arecales; Arecaceae. The record is from RNAcentral.